RNAcentral lists this long non-coding RNA (232 nucleotides) under Homo sapiens (human). RNAcentral's name for it is "non-protein coding lnc-AKR1B1-4:2". The record is from RNAcentral. Lineage: Eukaryota; Metazoa; Chordata; Mammalia; Primates; Hominidae.
CUCCAGAGAACAGCGCCACCUUCAUCAGCAACACAACCAUUCAGGAGUGGUUCUCUGCCAUUUUCAGACACAAGGUCUUCCUGCAUUGGUACAUGAGGGCAUGGACGAGAUGGAGUUCACUGAGGCCAAGUGCAAUAUGAAUGACCUGGUGUUUGCCUACCAACAGUACCAUGAUGCCACGGCUGAGGGGAAGGGAGCGUUUAAGGAGUGGGAUGAGGAGGAGGUGACUUAG